Molecule: ribosomal RNA, 610 nt
Filed under: Hydraena paeminosa
Lineage: Eukaryota; Metazoa; Arthropoda; Insecta; Coleoptera; Hydraenidae
Description: partial 16S ribosomal RNA
Rfam family: Bacterial large subunit ribosomal RNA (bases 377-535)
Source: RNAcentral
GUCUUUUUGAUUAUAAUAUAAAGUCUAAUCUGCCCACUGAUUUUUUAAAGGGCCGCAGUAAUUUGACUGUGCAAAGGUAGCAUAAUAAUUAGUUUCUUAAUUAGAAGCUGGAAUGAAUGAUUGAACGAAAAAUUAUCUGUCUCUAUUUAUAAAUUAAAAUUUUAUUUUUAAGUUAAAAAGCUUAAAUAAAUUAAAAAGACGAGAAGACCCUAUAGAGUUUAAUAUUUAAUUUAUUUUAUAUAAUAGAAUUUUUUUAUUUAAAUUAAUUAUUUAAUUGGGGUGAUUAGUAAAUUUAAUAAACUUUAUUUAUUUUAAAUCAUUAAUUUAUGAAUUUUUGAUCCAUUGAUAUUUGAUUAUAAGAAAAAAUUACCUUAGGGAUAACAGCGUUAUUUUUUUUGAAAGUUCCUAUUGAAAAAAAAGUUUGCGACCUCGAUGUUGGAUUAAAAUAAAUUUUUGGUGUAGAAGCUAAAAUAUUAGGUCUGUUCGACCUUUAAAAUUUUACAUGAUCUGAGUUUAAACCGGUGUGAGCCAGGUUGGUUUCUAUCUUUUAAAUAUAUAAUAUUUUAGUACGAAAGGACCGAAUGUUAUUAAUAUUUAAUUUAUUUGAAUA